AUUAAUUAUAAACUACAAAUUAUCUAGCUAGCAAAUUCAUAGGAAAAAGAGGAGUGGCAUGCUUCUCUUGCCUGGUCAGCUUAAUCCUUUCUAAUAUCCCCAGGAACUGCAAAGACGAGUAAAGUGCUCAGAUAGAAGAACUGAUCCACUGAAAGCCGUACCCUAGAAAUGAACUCCACUAAUCAACUGCUCAUGACUCCAACAGAUGUUUCUGGUUUUCAGACAAUUAGAACCUCAUGCUCCUUUCUGCUUUCUUGCUCUGUUUUUUUCUUUUUCUUUUUCCUACCAGAAGCAAAUGCCACUACACAUCUGAAGCUUCAGAACUUGCCAUGUGAUAUGGAAGACAAAUGAAGCCAGUCAGCAAUGUCAAACACUCCAAAGCAGUUUGGGAGAGAGCUGUUGUGAACAACACUGCACAACAUGUGUUCCUUCCCUGGUGUACUAUCUUAGGGGAUGUGCUAAGACUCUCGGGAACAAGAGCAGGUUCAGGACUCUUUAGCUCAACUCAAGUGUUUGUCGCUCUGUUUUCUGGUGAUUAGCCAAUACCAGCUGUUCUGGUGAUGAAGAUGUCUCAAAUCAAUUCUAUCCUGUCUGGCUUUCCAGGAAGAGGGUCCCCCCGCAUCUCAGAUUGAAAUUUAUCAGAGUCACUGCAGGCAGGAAAUUUGCUCCUUUACAAACUCGCACUCUCCCGCUUAUUUUUAUUGUUUUAACAUUUUCCAGAAAAACAAGUCAGAAAACAAACCUACUUCCUCUUUAGAAUGUGCUGUUAUUAACCUCUGAAAUGCUGAUUCUACCGGUUGGUCAUUUUUAUCGUAGAUCACUUUAAAGUAACGGCAGGAUCACAAAUUUAAAAAUCACAGUCAAUGCUGAAUCAGCAUAAAGAACAAAACACUAAGAGCAACAUUUUCAAUCCUCAGUGCCUACAAAGAAGCUCUUGAAUACUACCUCUAGGCUUCAAUGAUCUCCAGAAGGAAGGACAACAGGAUUUGGGUCUUUAGCACCAAAAAAAGUACCUUUAUUUUCAAAGGUGCUGAGCACCUGCAGCUCCCAUAGACUCGAGGGGGUGCUCAGCGCUCAUGCCUAAAAAGUGAGCUCUUUAUAAGGGAGUUCAGAUGAGGAAAAGUUUUUUUUUACUCAACUGUAAAUUUGGGUGUGUUAGUGCUUUCCACAUUUUUUUCAAAGAUCAAUAUUAAUGGAGGGUUUUUUGAGACAUACAAGCUGAAGAUACUCUCUUGAUUAAUUUCAGACAUUUUUUGGUGUCCUUCUUUGCCUUUGCCAGAAUGAAAUUUGGCAAAUACAUAUUUCCUGCUGCAGGAAAACAAUGUGUCUUUUCAUAGCUGGGAAUCAAGUCUUGGCAAUUAAAUUAGGACCAAUGUCCAUUGAUCUCAGUGGAAAACCCUAUUAUAUGGGAGAGCUCUUAGACCACAUCCUGCCAUCAUUCUGCACCGAGAACCCCCUCUGAGGUCAGCAGGAGUUUUAUGCAAAAAUAUAUAGCAGGAUGUGGUCCACUUAAGGACACUCUAAAGGUUGAAGCUCUAA
Molecule: long non-coding RNA, 1539 nt
Organism: Chrysemys picta bellii (western painted turtle)
Lineage: Eukaryota; Metazoa; Chordata; Testudines; Emydidae
Source: Ensembl